AGUGAACGCUGGCGGUAGGCCUAACACAUGCAAGUCGAACGGCAGCACAGUAAGAGCUUGCUCUUACGGGUGGCGAGUGGCGGACGGGUGAGGAAUACAUCGGAAUCUACUUUUUCGUGGGGGAUAACGUAGGGAAACUUACGCUAAUACCGCAUACGACCUACGGGUGAAAGCAGGGGAUCUUCGGACCUUGCGCGAUUGAAUGAGCCGAUGUCGGAUUAGCUAGUUGGCGGGGUAAGGGCCCACCAAGGCGACGAUCCGUAGCUGGUCUGAGAGGAUGAUCAGCCACACUGGAACUGAGACACGGUCCAGACUCCUACGGGAGGCAGCAGUGGGGAAUAUUGGACAAUGGGCGCAAGCCUGAUCCAGCCAUACCGCGUGAGUGAAGAAGGCCUUCGGGUUGUAAAGCCCUUUUGUUGGGAAAGAAAAGCAGCAGGUUAAUACCCCGCUGUUCUGACGGUACCCAAAGAAUAAGCACCGGCUAACUUCGUG
This 492-nucleotide ribosomal RNA is filed under the name uncultured bacterium. Its description in RNAcentral is "partial 16S ribosomal RNA". It matches the Rfam family "Bacterial small subunit ribosomal RNA", at positions 29 to 507 of the family's 1533-position model. The record is from RNAcentral.